GUGAAGAACGACUGCACAAACAGGAUGGCAUUGACUAAAAUGGCUGAACGACUCUCCAAGGAGAAGAAGUUGAGGGAUAAACGGAGCGCAUCUUCUGCACUUUCUAUGAAUGGCCAUAGUGUUGGAAUAAACAUCUGAACUUCUUUCUUCCAUUCCAAUCACACCUUACGCUAGAAUUUUGUGUAUAAUUUUUAAUUAAAAAACAUAUCAGGGUGUUGGUGAGCCACACAGCUGAUUUGUGUAAUGGUAAACACAGCAAUUCAAGAUUUAGCUGUGUUUUUGCCAACUAAUAGAUGCCAUUUCAUUCUGUUUUUUUUUAUAGCUAAAUUAUUAUUUUAUGUUCUCCAAAUAUUAAUAGCGUUGCAGUUGUGGACAACAAGGCAAUGUAAGUUUUAUAUUCGUUCCAAAAGUGCUUGGAGUGGAUGCAUAAACGUUCCCUACAGCACUUAGUUGGGCCUCUUCAAGGAAUUGUCUUAUUAUUGUAUUCUUUACUGAUAACACUGUAUUCGGGGAAUGGUUUGUAUUAUCGUUGGAUUAAAAAAUAUAGAUGUUAUUAUGAUA
Long non-coding RNA from Cryptomeria japonica (Japanese cedar), 561 nucleotides. RefSeq lists it as uncharacterized. The record is from RefSeq and is a predicted model, not a curated record. NCBI's taxonomy places the organism in Eukaryota, Viridiplantae, Streptophyta, Pinopsida, Cupressales, Cupressaceae. The transcript has 2 exons.